RNAcentral lists this ribosomal RNA (977 nucleotides) under uncultured bacterium. RNAcentral describes it as "bacterial SSU rRNA". It matches the Rfam family "Bacterial small subunit ribosomal RNA", at positions 28 to 1009 of the family's 1533-position model. The record is from RNAcentral.
GAUGAACGCUAGCGGCAGGCUUAACACAUGCAAGUCGAGGGGUAGGAGAAGCUUGCUUUUCUGAGACCGGCGCACGGGUGCGUAACGCGUAUGCAAUCUACCUUUCACAGAGGGAUAGCCCAGAGAAAUUUGGAUUAAUACCUCAUAGUAAUACGCCUUGGCAUCAAGAUGUAUUUAAAGAUUUAUCGGUGAAAGAUGAGCAUGCGUCCCAUUAGCUAGUUGGUAUGGUAACGGCAUACCAAGGCAACGAUGGGUAGGGGUCCUGAGAGGGAGAUCCCCCACACUGGUACUGAGACACGGACCAGACUCCUACGGGAGGCAGCAGUGAGGAAUAUUGGACAAUGGGCGCAAGCCUGAUCCAGCCAUGCCGCGUGCAGGAUGACGGUCCUAUGGAUUGUAAACUGCUUUUAUACAGGAAGAAACACUUCUACGUGUAGAGACUUGACGGUACUGUAAGAAUAAGGAUCGGCUAACUCCGUGCCAGCAGCCGCGGUAAUACGGAGGAUCCAAGCGUUAUCCGGAAUCAUUGGGUUUAAAGGGUCCGUAGGCGGUCAGAUAAGUCAGUGGUGAAAGCCCAUCGCUCAACGGUGGAACGGCCAUUGAUACUGUCUGACUUGAAUUAUUAGGAAGUAACUAGAAUAUGUAGUGUAGCGGUGAAAUGCUUAGAGAUUACAUGGAAUACCAACUGUGAAGGCAGGUUACUACUAAUAUAUUGACGCUGAUGGACGAAAGCGUGGGUAGCGAACAGGAUUAGAUACCCUGGUAGUCCACGCCGUAAACGAUGGAUACUAGCUGUUGGGAGCAAUCUCAGUGGCUAAGCGAAAGUGAUAAGUAUCCCACCUGGGGAGUACGAACGCAAGUUUGAAACUCAAAGGAAUUGACGGGGGCCCGCACAAGCGGUGGAGCAUGUGGUUUAAUUCGAUGAUACGCGAGGAACCUUCCCAAGGCUUAAAUGUAGUUUGACCGGUUGGAAACAG